Long non-coding RNA from Peromyscus californicus insignis, 8941 nucleotides. RefSeq lists it as uncharacterized. NCBI's taxonomy places the organism in Eukaryota, Metazoa, Chordata, Mammalia, Rodentia, Cricetidae. The transcript is spliced from 3 exons. The record is from RefSeq and is a predicted model, not a curated record.
CUUUGUCUCCUGUGACCUUAACGCCUUAAUCCACUGAUCCUAACGCGGUUCCACUCCUUAAUAUGGGGCGUGGAUGAAGCACUCUAAGGAGGCCCUGACAUUCUCAUCAUCGAGGUGUCUUUUAAGCCUGUGGUUUUAGGAUGACCUCUUUCAGCAUGGUACCAUCAGACUCCUGUUCAGCUGGUUGCAGCAAGCUUCAGAUGACCUCCUCUUACCCUCUUGUCACCUCAGUGACAGAAGUGCCAAAGAUAAGGCAUGCAAACCAGAAACACAAGGGUCUAGAGCCAGCAGUGAGAAGAGUGGACAAGCAAGUGACAGGGCCAUAAACUAACUCACUCUUUCAACUUAGACUUAAGUGAACAAACCUCUUCCGUUGGGCUUGAUCAGCCACUCGAUGACUCCACCCACGGCCACUGCUGCCUCCUUCAUCCACUAGUGGGCCAGUUUCACAGGCCCACGCUCUGUCUUCAAUUUCUUAAUUUUCUCUUGAGCCUAUCUUUCCUCUAAGUGAAGUCUGCUGGGAAAACUGAAUAUGCACAUAAGCAGAAAAGUCAUGUGGACAAAAAGAGAAAACUCUGCAUUUUUGUACCUUUAAGAGGGGAGAGAAAUACUUUCUGUUAUAUAUGCAAGCUAGGGAGACCCAUUAGGUAAGAAGCUAUUCAAGAUGGUUUUCCUUGUUAGCCUAGGCUAGCCUUCAACUCCCUAUGUAGCUGAUGAUUACCUAGAAUUUCCGAUCGACCUGCCUUUACCACCCAAGUGUUGUUAUUACAGGCAUGGGCCAUGUCACCCAGUUUUGUUCAUGGCAAUUCUCCAGUUUUUCUACAGACAUCAAUUUGCUGUCUUAAAAUUUAAUCCAGCUCUGGCAGAGUUGGAGCCUUGGUGCCAACCCUACAGGGGAAGGCCAGACUUGCCAGACUGCCCCUGUUUCAGGUCCCCAACACAACAAGGUGGACUUCCCUUUUGACUUACGACUGAGGGAAGCCAGGGCAAGAACUCAAGGCAGCAACCUGAAAAAAAAAAAAAAAAGAACUCGAAGCAGAAGCCAUGGAGGACCACAGCUUGCUGACUUCCUUCCCCUAGCUUUUCCUGCUUGCUUUCUUACACAGCUCAGGCCCGCCUGCCUAGGGAUGGCACUGUUUACAAUGGGCUGGGCCCUUCUGUAUCAAUUAGCAAUUAAGAAAAUGCCUCACAGACAUGGCCACAGGCCAAUCUGAUGGAGGCAGUUUUUCAGUCGAGGUUCCUCUUCCCAGGUGACUGUAGGGUUGUGCCAACUUGACAGCUGAAGCUAAUUAUGACACUUACUAUCACCGGUUUAUGAUAAAGGGCACAGCUCCAAAGCAAACACACAGAGGAGAUUAUGGGGCAGAGUCAGGGAGGGUGUUUUUCAGGUGCUCGCGGAGGUUUCUAGUGCACCACCACUUAGGUUAAGCCCUCCUGGAGUUGUCUGCUAUGCUUUGGAAGUGUCCCUCAAAGGCCCAUGUGUCGAAACUCGAUCACUAACUGCUGGCACUAUUGGCAGGUGACUGACCCCAUCGCAAGUGAGGCCUAGUAGAGGAAGUGUGACCUAGGCCAACCUCUGCUUUCUCUCUGCUUCUUGGCUUUUGUGAGGCAAGUGUCUUUGUUCCACAAUGUGCUGCACACCAUGACAUGAGACAGGACCAGGAGCAAUGAGCCCAACUAAGCAAAGACCGAAACCUCUGUGUCGAUAGCCCAAAGUAAACUCUCUCUUUUUCACUUAUCUCAGGUACUCAUUCAUGUGUGGAAAGCCAAGAUCAAUUACACACGCUAUGUCAGAAGAGCUCAGGGCAACCAGCUCCCAGGACCCAAGAUUUUCCCACUCGCAUCAACCCUGGUAGGGUCAAGAGGGGUUUGUUACACAUAAGGAAAGAUGUUCCUCUCAACUCUGCCUCCUCGGGGAAUCUCAGGGGUCUUCGAAGCUGCGUGCCAAGAACCAGGAGCUAUUUUUUGCGGCUGUUACAGCUCUAACAGUUUUCUUGUCCCCGUCAGCAGGAGGCCCAGCAUUUUCAUUUCACAGUGAACCUUACAAAUUAGAAAUCAUAUGUAACCUACAGAAAUUGUGGCUUUGGUGGGCCACAGGAGAGGUGUCCAGCCUUCCUAAACCCAAACCACAACCCUUCGACUGUACUAUGAUGGAUACCAUCCUCACUCAGUAGAUGCAGGACAUUCACUUGUCAAAUUCCACCAGGAGCUGGGAACCCACUGAGAUUUUCCCAGGAGGCAACUGGUGCCAUUCUCUCUGUGGCUCUGGGAAGGUGAUUCUAUGUUGACUCAGUUCACACACACACACACAAAAAACUAGACACUCAAAGAGUACUCGGGCAGGACCAGCUUAAUAAAAGUAGGUGGUGGAAUGAGAUCAGAUGUGCCAUCGUCAAUUGGCAUGCCUCAGAGCAUAUGUAUAUUUCCAGUGCUGCUUCAAACCUGUCGUUACAAGUGUGGUGUUAAGCGGGAUUGGUUUAUACCACGUAUCCAAUCGCAACUGUAUCUACAAAGCACAUUAGUGUCUCCAAGUCACUGAGAAUUAUUCUUACCCAUCACUGACCAUUUCGAAUUCCAGUCUUAACAAGUGUAGGCCUGGCCGCCUCUUACGCCUGGCACAGCCUGGUACCCCUGUUUACUUCACUUUCUCGCUGUCGCUUUACUUCACUGUUGCCUUCCUGCCAAAUAUGCGUAAGCUGGUACAUAUUCUCAAUAGCAUGCUUACAUCCUCUCUGUGUGUUUCUCUCUGUCCCUCUGUCUGUGUGUGUGUGUGUAUCUGUCUAUCUGUCUCUCUGUUUCCCCUACACACACCCCCAAUCAUACUCUACUGCUCCAGAAGACAGAGGAUCUUAUAAGUACUGCUCAUUCCUAUUCCUCCAAACUGAGCUCAUGAUUCCUUUCAAUAGAUAGUGACUCUUUGGAGUCCACAGCUUCUCUAACUAGAGGGGAACCCUCAGAACCAGGCCCAGGGCAGAUGGCACAUAUCAUCCUCAGGAGCAGUGGCCCCCACACAAGCCUCACCUGAAUGAAGCCUCACACAGCAUUUCUCCCAGUGCUGCUGCAUGGUGUUGCUGAUCCAGCCUCCUGUGAAGAUGCACAGACCUCAGAGUCGGGAGCAUACAAGCGCUGGAGCUUCAUUUCAUGAUGGGACUUCCCAUCCCAUGGCUUAGGAAAGGCUAUUUCUGUUGAACAAGUGAUUAAGUAUUUCCAAAUGAAACAUUUUUGAAAACGUAAGAGUGAUGUUUUUCAUCUUGGGCCUCCUUCGCUCAGUUUCCGUGGUUCAGCAGCGCCACCCAGUGUUAAAAACAUUUCCGUGAGAAAAUUCUCCCCUUUGCCUUGUGAAAGUGAACCUGGGAGUGUCUUUGAGUAUCACAUGAGAAGAAAAUGGGCAUCCACAGAAUGGAUAACAAUACGCCUGGGCAGUUCAGAAAAAUUCUGACCUAGAAUGCCACCAAGAUCACCCAGGAAACAAAAGGACUUUCCAGUCCCACCCAAUUAAUAACAGGGGGCAAGCCAGAACUAGCCCAGUACAAAGUAGUCAGUAGCAUCCCGACAGUGAGGGCUAUAAAGACAAGAUCAUGUGGAUGACGGGUCAGUCGUGGCUGGACCAGAUCUCAGAGAUGACAUCUUUCACUUUAUACAUGAACUAAGACUAAGCAAAACUUCACAAUAUGCACAAGUCCACAGCCAAUGACUUUGUAGCUUAGAUAAAAGUGUGUACCAUUCACCUCCUGGGUCAUCAUUCUCCUCCAAAAUGUCAAAACUCAAGAUGACCUAGUGUGACAGUCCAUAAAGAAGUAUAUGGGGAAAGGUAAGAAUGAAAACAGCUGGGAGGCAGAGGCAGGAAGAUCUCAAGGAGCCAGCCUGGGUAACAGAAUCAGAUAUUGUCACCAAAAAAAUGAACAAGAAAAAAAAGGGAGAAUAUAUUUCUCAUCUCUAUGUCUUUUUUGAAACUCUAAUGUUAAAAUUCUUAAUGUUUGGAAAUAACAGAGUUCUAUAUAUAAAAUUAAUUAGAGAUAAAAACCAAGUGCUAGAAAUAGCUUGUUAUGCUAAAAUGAAAGUAGAGGCCGUGGAUAUGAAGCAAAUCAAGAGAUGUGCUGGAGACUCUCACAGGCUGGGUCCUUGUUCUGUGAUAAUCUGUUCUUUGUAUAGGAAAGGCCGUCCUUGAUCAGGGCCAGAGCUUAGACAUUUGCUUUCCCAACAGCAGUUACAUUUAUCCCACGAUGCUUAGAAUGUGUUUUGUUUCCUAAUGAGUGAAAAACAAGUGUUGUGAUGGAACCUAGCAACAUGGACAUGGAUGGAAGUCCUGUUGUUCAUCACCUGCACAGUUGGUCAACUUCCUUAGCCAUCAUGGUUCCUGAUGGCUUUAAUCUUUAACAGUGUGUGUGUGUGUGUGUGUGUGUGUGUGUGUGUGUGUGUGUGUGUGUGUGUAUGAGGUAAAGGAGUCAAAUCUCUUUCCACUCUAUGAGUUCUAGGUAUAGAACUCAAGAUGUCCAGCUUGGUAGCAAGUGUCUUUACAAGCUGAGUCAAUUCACAGGCGCCUCCUCCUGACAUAUCUUUAAAUAUAGCAAUUAAUGAAAAUAAGAUCAAGUUCGUGGCAUCCAGUAUUCAACUGAGAAUUGUUUUCUGACAUUAUACUGCAAGAUUCUCUAACAUGCAGAAAAAUUGGAAACAUUUUCCUAUAUGCAUAUACCAUCUCACUUCUGCAAUUCUUUUUCACUACACUGGAUUUAUAACAAUACAUAUAUCUAAUAUGCCUGUUCAUUGGUGAACCUGUUAUUUGUAAGUGCACUUCACAAGCUCAAACAUGAGUAAUUUUCUCCAUGACAUUUUAUUUUGGAAGUAAAACUCACAUGUAAUGAAACACAUUCUCUCUCUCUCUCUCUCUCUCUCUCUCUCUCUCUCUCUCUCUCUCUCUCCCUCCUUCUCUCUCUCAUUCUUACUCUCUUGCUCUUGUUCCGUGUGUGUGUGUGUGUGUGUGUGUGUGUGUGUGUGUGUGUGUAUGCAUGCAUAUGAGUGAAUGUGUGCAUGUGCACAUGUGUGUGCAGGUGGAGGCCAGAGGUCAUUCCUCAGAAGCUGUCCGCCUUGGUUUUUGAGACAAAGUCUCUUACUGGGCCUCACCAAUUAAGCUAAGUCGACUGAUCAGCAAGUACAAAGGAUCCACCUGUCUCUGCUCCCCCAGCACUGUGACUGCUUGCUCACACCGCUGUGUCCAGUGUCUUCUUAUGUGGGUUCUGGUGAGAGAAUUCAGGUCCUCCUAUUUGUGCAGCAGUGCUUGAUGACUGAGCUGGGACCCCACCACACAAAUAACUCAAGUGUACCAUCUGGAGAGUUCUGAAGAGUGCUCACACUCUACAACCCAAGCCUCUCUCGUGGCACCUGGAGCAUUGAUGCCACCCCCUAGAAUGUUUCCACAUGACCCCUUCCGGUAAACUCCUGAGCCAACAACCAAAGUGCAACCGCCACCCAGACUCCUCUCACCACGCAUUAGUUUUGCUCCCAUCAAAAGCUGGCCCGAUGGGACCCAGAGCCUGUGUUCUGUUAAGUGGAGGCUCUCACUCAUUAACCAACAAGAUUACACCCAGACAGGUACAGUCUCCAUUAGUGGUUGCUGCUGGCUUCCUAAGAAGUGUCACAUCUACAAGAUGACAAACGCAACCCCACAUACAAAUCAAGACUCUUGUGGGAUAGUGCAUCAGUCUGUCUUUUUCUUUCCUUAAGAUUUAUAUAUAUUAAUUAUACGCAAUAACGGGUUUCAUUGUGCAUUGUAAUAUAGGCAUCUAAAGUAUUUUAAUAAUAUUCACGCUCAUUACCCUCCCUCAUUCCUCUCCACUCUUGGUGAUUCUCUUACCAGUCUGUCCCUUUUGUAUUUUCAUCUGUUCUUUUAACCUAUUGUUUUUGCCUUGACAAUGAAGAGUUUGACCGCUAGAUGGCAGGAGGAACUCAUUGUAUCAUAUCCACUUCAGUGCGUAGCUCACUCCCUGUUCGCCUAUCUUGACAUUUGAUUAAAAACAUAGGUGCAAACAACAAUCAAGAGUGGCCAUAUUGAUGACUAGAAUUUAUGCACGGGAAAACUAAUAAGCAACUGAAGAAAUCCACAGAGGAGGCUAAUUACUAGAUGAGAGAUUCUUGAGUGUCUGUGCACCUGUUCGAGGGCUCUGGGCAGCUUCGGAUGGAGGUAUAGGGUGUGCUAGAUGAUGUGCCUCUGAGGACUGAUUGUGGAGUGCUGACUGCAGUCACAUAGUGAUAGCUAACAGCGUUCAGACGAAGGACUUUCACAUCUGCUUUAAAUAAAAUACUGUGAAAAGCCAGCGUAUUGACUCCAUCUCCACUGUCAAAUUAUGAUUUAAAUUCACAAGAAAGUAGACAAAGUGUGGAAGGCUUGCAUCUGGACCAUCAUAAAUAGCAUUAGCCACAUAUAAAAAUGAUUGAAGAAUUCAGAACACCCAGAGAGAAGUUAAGGGAAGGUGCCAGGGGCCAACUCAUAAUUUGUGGCAUUGAUAAUAAGGUGUGCAAUAUAGGAAAGGUUACACUAAUGUUAGCCACCAAGGAAAGCACUAAUAUGGAGGUUCUCAACCUUCCUGAUGCUGGGGCUCCUUCACACAGUUCUUCAUGUGAUGGUGACCACCAAAAAUAGUUAGUUUCGUUGCUACUUCGUAACUGUAAUUUUGCUACUGUUAUGAAUCACAGUGUAUACAUCAGAUACGCAGAUAGUCUUAGGUGACCCCUGUAAAAGGGUCAUUCGUGAUCCACAGGUUGAGAACCACUACUAAACAGAGCAAGAACAGAUUUAGGAGGCAAAACAUCUUCCCAGGAGAAGAAACAUGUGUUCUGGUUUGUUUUCUGUUGUGUGAUAGACACUAUGACCAAAAGCAACUUGGCAAUAAGAACUCUCUUUCAUCUACAGGACAUCAUCAAUGGAGGAAACUCAAGGCCAGAGCUUAAAGCAGAAACCAUAAAGGACCUCUGCUUAUUGGGUUGCUCACAGGCUACCUUUAUUAUAUAGCUCAGACCCAACUGCCUGGGGAUAGGACCACCCACAGUGGACUGAACCCUUCUUCAUCAAUUAGCGAUUAGGAAAAUGCUCCCACAGAUGUUCCUGAAGCCCGAACUGGUGGAGACAAUUCUUCAAUUGAAGUUCUUUCCCCCCAGAUGUGUCAAAUUGGCAACCAAGAUUAACCAUGCAAAUGUGUGACAAACUGAUUUUCCUUUAUUGCAUAUCCUUUCACUGAAUCAUUCACAUUGAAGGGUCAGAGGACAGUGAGAUCAAGCCAGUGGCUUGUUAGUCAGACUUUGAAACUUGCACCAUCUGUAGGUGCUCCAGGAUUUCCAUGUGAAAAGUUUAUUUGGGGAAGUGCUUAGAUAAACAUUAAAUAACAAUAGCUCAUGGUAGCCAAGUGCAUCCUGAAACACCAGCUGAUCUCUGUGAGGUUUUGAAUCACAUACUGCAAUUAGCUGCUCACAACUCCAGUAAAACCAAGAGAUUCUUAAAGUUACAGCAUUUCUUGGGGGCUCCCCUAUUGAGCCCUUCCUCACCUCACAGCCCACACAAAGCCUGUACCUACCCUAACACCCUCACAUAGCCACUCCUGGAUUCCCAGGUAGAUAUCCACAUUUAUUUUUCUUAACAAAUAAAUGUACUUAAGUAAAAAAGUGUGAAACAGUUUAAUUGAUUAUUUGAGAAUCUCACAGCAUGCAACCCAAUUGUGUUCACUUCCCAUGUGGCCUCCCCCUUCAAAAAAAAGUCCAUUUUGUGUUGUCCUAUAUUCACUGGAGCGUGGAGCAUGAUCAGAUUCCUAGUACCCAGCCCACCAAAGGAGGGUGAGUCUUUAUCCAUCAGCUGAGGAGAGCUGUGUGGUUGGUGUCCAAGGGUUUUAGCUCUCCUGCACCCCUACACCCACACCACCACCUGCACCACAGUGCUGAGGGCUGGUGAAGGGUGGGGCCAGCUCUGCUGUGAGGGGCAGGACCAGCUCUCCUGCCGCCCACACACAUUAGCAUGGCUUCAGGUAGCAGCCCUAACCACAGGCAUGGCCUUUGGUGGUAACACUGGCCACAGACAUCAACACGGCUCUUGGCCAUAUCAGGACCACUGUCCCACUCACGGCCCUCAGCGGCUGAUGACCAUGAGCCUCAACACUGCCUUAGGUGGCGACACAUGCCACUUACAUCAGCAUGGCUCCCCAAGGCAGCAAAGCCAAGGCAUGGGGCAGCGACACAGACUGCAAACAUCCACAUGGAUCUCAGGCUUCGUGGCGGUCCAGGCAGCAACAUGGACCUCCGACACCAACAUGCCCUCUGGUGGUAUUGAGGACCAUGGUGGUCCUUUGAGGAGGUCCAAUCCAGGAAGUGAAACUUUCCCAUCUCCGGCCUCCAACAUUGCCCAGAGCCAGGGGAAUCCCGCAGCCAGGUGGCAGGUUCAGGGCUGAGUCUGUGUCUGCAUAAGUUCCCGGCUGUUGUGCACCAUCCCACCAACCCUACCGGACAAUGACAGCAUGUCGACCUCAGCCUUCUCUCUCACCUGUCACCACCAUCAUGUCUCCAGGUCCACCUCUCCCUAGCAAGGGCACCACUCAGUUUUUCUGUCUUUGCUCUUCUCCAUCAAGUAUUUAUUGUAGUGGUGCCUGCCUACCCCAGGCAGCAGGGGCCCCAGGCAGCACUCAGGUGUGUCCAUCCACCUAGGCCACCUUUAAAACAUUUUUAAAGUGGUAACACAAUUAGCAUAAAUUAUAGAAAUGGCAGAAACAUGAGGGGAAUACACUAAUGACAGAAAGUUUAAAAAAAAUUACCUCCCAAAAGGAGCUCUUCUUAAAAUCAUAUGGUCAAUAUUUUAAAGAAACUAAUAGGUAAUUACAAUGCAAACUCUGGUCAAAGUUUUAAGUCCAUGUAUUUAUUUCAUAUUCUCUCUCUCUCUCUCUCUCUCUCUCUCUCUCUCUCUCUC